GUGAUUUUACCCUCGUCUGUAUUGGUGUGAAUGUGUUUCCACAGUGUAUGACUUCAUAUGGUUAUUUUACCUACUCUGCGUUGGUGUGAAUGUGUUUCCACAGUCUAUGAUCAGUAUAGUGAUUUUACCCCACUUUGCAUUAUUGUGAAUGUGUUUCCAUAGUGUAUGACCAUUUUAUAGUUCUGUGCGCAUACCACCAGAAUUUCAGAAUUACAGAAUUUCAGAAUUGAAUAACCUUGCUAUGUAUAUCGAGAUUAAUCGAUUCACGAGUAUGAUUAUUCCGGGUACAUUUUUGGUGUGAUGUUUCAGUAUUACAUAGCUUAUCAGAUUUUAGAAAUACAGUAUAUAGAAUAAAAAUGUUUAUGAUUAUAGUAUAUUUUAGUUUUGAUAGUAUUAUCAGAUUCUAAGCUACAAAAUUCAGUUUAAAGAAUAAAUAUCUUAGUUUAUAUGUUUAUGAAAAGAAAUUUUAUGCUAUAUGUCGAUUUUCAGAAAGAUUUUAUGAAUGGAAAAGUAUACUUUACAAGUAUCCAUUCAUUGAGUUAUAGGCUCACAUUUUUAUCACUAUUUUUUUAUCAGAUAGUAGCUGAGUUGAGCACUACUGGGCCAGUUGAUCUAUCGAGUUGAGCCAUAGAUUGUCAAGCAUUGUAUGAAUCAUCUUUUCAGUUUAAUAGUUCAUAUUUUGGGAUAGACACCUCUUUUGGUCAGAAAUAAGUUCCAUGUGUUGGGCUUGCUAUGUUUUGUAUAUAUAUUAUGCAUUUUAGGUACUGUGGUUUAGAAAUUAUUGCAAAAGUCGAAUUGCCAGUCUUAUAUUUGAAUAGUUGAUAUUUUGAGGAGUCGGUGUACCCUGUUUUAAACUAUAUGUACAUGUUGGGGAUAUUUGAUUUUAUUUUCAAGUGGUUUUAGUCCAUUUUUCAGAGGGAACUCUGUUGAAAUUUUUAUAAAAUUAUAAUAGUCAAAGCAUGUCAAGUUUGCCUUGGUGGUGGGUUCGGCACUUCGC
RNAcentral lists this long non-coding RNA (997 nucleotides) under Olea europaea subsp. europaea. The record is from RNAcentral. Lineage: Eukaryota; Viridiplantae; Streptophyta; Magnoliopsida; Lamiales; Oleaceae.